CCUACGGGUGGCAGCAGUGGGGGAUAUUGCACAAUGGAGGGAACCCUGAUGCAGCGACGCCGCGUGGGUGAAGAAGCGCCUCGGCGCGUAAAGCUCUGUCAGCAGGGAAGAAAAUGACGGUACCUGAGGAAGAAGCCCCGGCUAACUACGUGCCAGCAGCCGCGGUAAUACGUAGGGGGCAAGCGUUAUCCGGAUUUACUGGGUGUAAAGGGGGCGCAGACGGCGAUGCAAGCCAGGAGUGAAAGGCCGGGGCUCAACCCCGGGACUGCUCUUGGAACUGCGUGGCUGGAGUGCAGGAGGGGCAGGUGGAAUUCCUGGUGUAGCGGUGAAAUGCGUAGAUAUCAGGAGGAACACCGGUGGCGAAGGCGGCCUGCUGGACUGUAACUGACGUUGAGGCCCGAAAGCGUGGGGAGCAAACAGGAUUAGAUACCCUAGUAGUC
RNAcentral lists this ribosomal RNA (440 nucleotides) under uncultured bacterium. RNAcentral describes it as "partial 16S ribosomal RNA". It matches the Rfam family "Bacterial small subunit ribosomal RNA", at positions 338 to 795 of the family's 1533-position model. The record is from RNAcentral.